Molecule: ribosomal RNA, 996 nt
Filed under: uncultured Gammaproteobacteria bacterium
Lineage: Bacteria; Pseudomonadati; Pseudomonadota; Gammaproteobacteria
Description: bacterial SSU rRNA
Rfam family: Bacterial small subunit ribosomal RNA
Source: RNAcentral
AUUGAAUGCUGGCGGCAUGCUUAACACAUGCAAGUCGAACGGCAGCGCGAGUAAGCUUGCUUACUUGGCGGCGAGUGGCGGACGGGUGCAAAAUACGUAGGAAUCUGCCCUAGAGUGGGGGAUAACCUGGGGAAACUCAGGCUAAUACCGCAUAAUCUCUAUGGAGCAAAGAGGGGGACCUUCGGGCCUCUCGCUCUAGGAUGAGCCUACGUCGGAUUAGCUAGUUGGUGGGGUAAAUGCCUACCAAGGCUACGAUCCGUAGCUGGUCUGAGAGGACGACCAGCCACACUGGGACUGAGAUACGGCCCAGACUCCUACGGGAGGCAGCAGUGGGGAAUAUUGGACAAUGGGCGCAAGCCUGAUCCAGCAAUGCCGCGUGUGUGAAGAAGGCCUUCGGGUUGUAAAGCACUUUUAGUAGGGAAGAAUGACUUAAGUUUAAUAAACUUAAGUAGUGACGUUACUUACAGAAAAAGCACCGGCUAACUCUGUGCCAGCAGCCGCGGUAAUACAGAGGGUGCAAGCGUUAAUCGGAAUUACUGGGCGUAAAGCGUGCGUAGGCGGAUUUUUAAGUCGGAUGUGAAAUACCCGGGCUCAACCUGGGAACUGCAUUCGAUACUGAAUUUCUAGAGUAUGGUAGAGGAAAGUGGAAUUCCCGGUGUAGCGGGAAAUGCGUAGAUAUCGGGAGGAACACCAGUGGCGAAGGCGGCUUUCUGGACCAAUACUGACGCUGAGGUACGAAAGCGUGGGGAGCAAACAGGAUUAGAGACCCUGGUAGUCCACGCUGUAAACGAUGAGAACUGGGCGUCGGGGAGCAUUGUCUCCUUGGUGCCGAAGCUAACGCGUUAAGUUCUCCGCCUGGGGAGUACGGCCGCAAGGCUAAAACUCAAAGGAAUUGACGGGGGCCCGCACAAGCGGUGGAGCAUGUGGUUUAAUUCGAUGCAACGCGAAAAACCUUACCUACCCUUGACAUUUUUGGAAUCCUUUAGAGAUAGAGGA